CAGCAGCCGCGGGAAUACGGAGGAUCCAAGCGUUAUCCGGAUUUAUUGGGUUUAAAGGGUGCGUAGGUGGCCUGUUAAGUCAGGGGUGAAAGACGGUAGCUUAACUAUCGCAGUGCCCUUGAUACUGAUGGGCUUGAAUGAACUAGAGGUAGGCGGAAUGUGACAAGUAGCGGUGAAAUGCAUAGAUAUGUCACAGAACACCAAUUGCGAAGGCAACUUACUAUGGUUUUAUUGACACUGAGGCACGAAAGCGUGGGGAUCAAACAGGAUUAGAUACCCGAGUAGUCCCUGUCUCUUAUAC
Molecule: ribosomal RNA, 301 nt
Filed under: uncultured bacterium
Lineage: Bacteria
Description: partial 16S ribosomal RNA
Rfam family: Bacterial small subunit ribosomal RNA
Source: RNAcentral